This 261-nucleotide ribosomal RNA is filed under the name uncultured archaeon. RNAcentral describes it as "partial 16S ribosomal RNA". It matches the Rfam family "Archaeal small subunit ribosomal RNA", at positions 748 to 1008 of the family's 1478-position model. The record is from RNAcentral.
CAGCCGUAAACUAUGCGCGUUAGGUGUACUGGUGACCACGAGUCACCGGGGUGCCGAAGGGAAACCGUGAAACGUGCCGCCUGGGAAGUACGGUCGCAAGGCUGAAACUUAAAGAAAUUGGCGGGGGAGCACCACAACGGGUGGAGCCUGCGGUUUAAUUGGACUCAACGCCGGAAAUCUCACCGGAUAGGACAGACAUAUGAUAGUCGGGCCGAAGACUCUACUUGAUGAUCUGAGAGGUGGUGCAUGGCGUCAGUGACU